RNAcentral lists this ribosomal RNA (253 nucleotides) under uncultured bacterium. Its description in RNAcentral is "partial 16S ribosomal RNA". It matches the Rfam family "Bacterial small subunit ribosomal RNA", at positions 524 to 776 of the family's 1533-position model. The record is from RNAcentral.
UACAGAGGGGGCAAGCGUUAUUCGGAAUUACUGGGCGUAAAGGGCUCGUAGGUGGCCAACUAAGUCAGACGUGAAAUCCCUCGGCUUAACCGGGGAACUGCGUCUGAUACUGGAUGGCUUGAGAUUGGGAGAGGGAUGCGGAAUUCCAGGUGUAGCGGUGAAAUGCGUAGAUAUCUGGAGGAACACCGGUGGCGAAGGCGGCAUCCUGGACCAACACUGACGCUGAGGAGCGAAAGCCAGGGGAGCAAACGGG